RNAcentral lists this ribosomal RNA (1152 nucleotides) under Pediococcus pentosaceus. RNAcentral's name for it is "bacterial SSU rRNA". Lineage: Bacteria; Bacillati; Bacillota; Bacilli; Lactobacillales; Lactobacillaceae. The record is from RNAcentral.
UGAUUAUGACGUACUUGUACUGAUUGAGAUUUUAACACGAAGUGAGUGGCGAACGGGUGAGUAACACGUGGGUAACCUGCCCAGAAGUAGGGGAUAACACCUGGAAACAGAUGCUAAUACCGUAUAACAGAGAAAACCGCAUGGUUUUCUUUUAAAAGAUGGCUCUGCUAUCACUUCUGGAUGGACCCGCGGCGUAUUAGCUAGUUGGUGAGGUAAAGGCUCACCAAGGCAGUGAUACGUAGCCGACCUGAGAGGGUAAUCGGCCACAUUGGGACUGAGACACGGCCCAGACUCCUACGGGAGGCAGCAGUAGGGAAUCUUCCACAAUGGACGCAAGUCUGAUGGAGCAACGCCGCGUGAGUGAAGAAGGGUUUCGGCUCGUAAAGCUCUGUUGUUAAAGAAGAACGUGGGUAAGAGUAACUGUUUACCCAGUGACGGUAUUUAACCAGAAAGCCACGGCUAACUACGUGCCAGCAGCCGCGGUAAUACGUAGGUGGCAAGCGUUAUCCGGAUUUAUUGGGCGUAAAGCGAGCGCAGGCGGUCUUUUAAGUCUAAUGUGAAAGCCUUCGGCUCAACCGAAGAAGUGCAUUGGAAACUGGGAGACUUGAGUGCAGAAGAGGACAGUGGAACUCCAUGUGUAGCGGUGAAAUGCGUAGAUAUAUGGAAGAACACCAGUGGCGAAGGCGGCUGUCUGGUCUGCAACUGACGCUGAGGCUCGAAAGCAUGGGUAGCGAACAGGAUUAGAUACCCUGGUAGUCCAUGCCGUAAACGAUGAUUACUAAGUGUUGGAGGGUUUCCGCCCUUCAGUGCUGCAGCUAACGCAUUAAGUAAUCCGCCUGGGGAGUACGACCGCAAGGUUGAAACUCAAAAGAAUUGACGGGGGCCCGCACAAGCGGUGGAGCAUGUGGUUUAAUUCGAAGCUACGCGAAGAACCUUACCAGGUCUUGACAUCUUCUGACAGUCUAAGAGAUUAGAGGUUCCCUUCGGGGACAGAAUGACAGGUGGUGCAUGGUUGUCGUCAGCUCGUGUCGUGARAUGUUGGGUUAAGUCCCGCAACGAGCGCAACCCUUAUUACUAGUUGCCAGCAUUANNUGGGCACYCUAGUGAGACUGCCGGUGAAACCGGAGGAAGGGGGGACGACGUAAUCUCCCC